GGGGAUGUAGCUCAUCUGGUAGAGCGUUAAACAAUAAAUGAUGAUAAAGGCAGGGGUUCAACUCCUCGCAUCUCCA
This 76-nucleotide transfer RNA is filed under the name Zea mays. It matches the Rfam family "tRNA". From Rfam's summary of the family: Transfer RNA (tRNA) molecules are approximately 80 nucleotides in length. Their secondary structure includes four short double-helical elements and three loops (D, anti-codon, and T loops). Further hydrogen bonds mediate the characteristic L-shaped molecular structure. tRNAs have two regions of fundamental functional importance: the anti-codon, which is responsible for specific mRNA codon recognition, and the 3' end, to which the tRNAs corresponding amino acid is attached (by aminoacyl-tRNA synthetases). tRNAs cope with the degeneracy of the genetic code in two manners: having more than one tRNA (with a specific anti-codon) for a particular amino acid; and 'wobble' base-pairing, i.e. permitting non-standard base-pairing at the 3rd anti-codon position. The record is from Rfam by way of RNAcentral. Lineage: Eukaryota; Viridiplantae; Streptophyta; Magnoliopsida; Poales; Poaceae.